RNAcentral lists this ribosomal RNA (362 nucleotides) under uncultured bacterium. Its description in RNAcentral is "partial 16S ribosomal RNA". It matches the Rfam family "Bacterial small subunit ribosomal RNA", at positions 338 to 716 of the family's 1533-position model. The record is from RNAcentral.
CCUACGGGCGGCAGCAGUGGGGAAUAUUGCACAAUGGGGGAAACCCUGAUGCAGCGACGCCGCGUGAGUGAAGAAGGAUUUCGGUAUGUAAAGCUCUAUCAGCAGGGAAGAAGAAAGACGGGACCUGACGAAGAAGCCCAGGCUAACUACGUGCCAGCAGCCGCGGUAAUACGUAGGGGGCAAGCGUGAUCCGGAUUUACUGGGUGUAAAGGGAGCGUAGACGGCUGUUCCAGUCUGAAGUGAAAGCCCAGGGCUCAACCCGGGGACUGCUUUGGAAACUGUGGAGCUAGAGUGCUGGAGAGGUAAGUGGCAUUCCUAGUGUAGCGGUUACAUUCGUAGAUAUUAGGCGGAACCCCAGUGGC